Non-coding RNA from Stenotrophomonas sp. LM091, 92 nucleotides. Lineage: Bacteria; Pseudomonadati; Pseudomonadota; Gammaproteobacteria; Lysobacterales; Lysobacteraceae. The record is from Rfam.
ACACGCCGAUCUGGAGAGAGGUCUUCAAUGACCCGCCGAAGGGGCACGUGGCCUUGGCCACCGAACUCUCAGGCAAAAGGACAGCGGGAGCG